UGAUUUAUUUGUGGACUGGAAGUCCUUGAAGAUGGAUGGAUACAACAGAUGCAGAGAACUACAUGUUUUCCGGGCAUAAUGGAAAUGUCAGAAGAAAUGUUUAACAUUGUUAUCUGCAGAAAAAUAAAUGAUGGGUCCUUUGGAUGACAGAUAGAGUGCGGUGAUAUAAGGAUGACAUGGUAUGGUUAUGUUUGACAAUCAAAUAAGGGGAUUUGUAACAUAUUUCUUUCAUAUGAAUUUCGAGCUCUUAACAUGUAUGAGUGAUCUGGGUAGAUGAUGCUCACCGAUUUAUUUUUGUAAAUUUGAUGGUAAUUCAUCAUAGUACUACAUGAGGAAGAAUAUAUAUGAUUUCAUUACUA
This is a long non-coding RNA of Lolium rigidum, 359 nucleotides long. RefSeq lists it as uncharacterized. The transcript is spliced from 2 exons. The record is from RefSeq and is a predicted model, not a curated record. NCBI's taxonomy places the organism in Eukaryota, Viridiplantae, Streptophyta, Magnoliopsida, Poales, Poaceae.